This 586-nucleotide ribosomal RNA is filed under the name uncultured bacterium. Its description in RNAcentral is "bacterial SSU rRNA". It matches the Rfam family "Bacterial small subunit ribosomal RNA", at positions 102 to 684 of the family's 1533-position model. The record is from RNAcentral.
ACGGGUGAGUAAUACAUCGGAACGUACCCUGUCGUGGGGGAUAACUAACCGAAAGGUUAGCUAAUACCGCAUACGACCUGAGGGUGAAAGCGGGGGAUCGCAAGACCUCGCGCGAUAGGAGCGGCCGAUGUCAGAUUAGCUAGUUGGUGAGGUAAAGGCUCACCAAGGCGACGAUCUGUAGCGGGUCUGAGAGGACGGCCCGCCACACUGGAACUGAGACACGGUCCAGACUCCUACGGGAGGCAGCAGUGGGGAAUUUUGGACAAUGGGGGCAACCCUGAUCCAGCCGUUCCGCGUGAGUGAAGAAGGCCUUCGGGUUGUAAAGCUCUUUCGGCAGGAACGAAACGGUGGGAGCUAAUACCUCUCGCUAAUGACGGUACCUGAAGAAGAAGCACCGGCUAACUACGUGCCAGCAGCCGCGGUAAUACGUAGGGUGCGAGCGUUAAUCGGAAUUACUGGGCGUAAAGCGUGCGCAGGCGGUUUUGUAAGACAGAUGUGAAAUCCCCGGGCUUAACCUGGGAACUGCGUUUGUGACUGCAAGACUUGAGUGCGGCAGAGGGGGGUGGAAUUCCACGUGUAGCAGUGA